Molecule: ribosomal RNA, 1343 nt
Filed under: uncultured bacterium
Lineage: Bacteria
Description: 16S ribosomal RNA
Rfam family: Bacterial small subunit ribosomal RNA
Source: RNAcentral
GACGAACGCUGGCGGCGUACUUAACACAUGCAAGUCGAACGGAAAGGCCCUGCUUUUGUGGGGUGCUCGAGUGGCGAACGGGUGAGUAACACGUGAGUAACCUGCCCUUGACUUUGGGAUAACUUCAGGAAACUGGGGCUAAUACCGGAUAGGAGCUCCUGCUGCAUGGCGGGGGUUGGAAAGUUUCGGCGGUUGGGGAUGGACUCGCGGCUUAUCAGCUUGUUGGUGGGGUAGUGGCUUACCAAGGCUUUGACGGGUAGCCGGCCUGAGAGGGUGACCGGCCACAUUGGGACUGAGAUACGGCCCAGACUCCUACGGGAGGCAGCAGUGGGGAAUAUUGCACAAUGGGCGGAAGCCUGAUGCAGCAACGCCGCGUGCGGGAUGACGGCCUCCGGGUUGUAAACCGCUUUCGCCUGUGACGAAGCGUGAGUGACGGUAAUGGGUAAAGAAGCACCGGCUAACUACGUGCCAGCAGCCGCGGUGAUACGUAGGGUGCGAGCGUUGUCCGGAUUUAUUGGGCGUAAAGGGCUCGUAGGUGGUUGAUCGCGUCGGAAGUGUAAUCUUGGGGCUUAACCCUGAGCGUGCUUUCGAUACGGGUUGACUUGAGGAAGGUAGGGGAGAAUGGAAUUCCUGGUGGAGCGGUGGAAUGCGCAGAUAUCAGGAGGAACACCAGUGGCGAAGGCGGUUCUCUGGGCCUUUCCUGACGCUGAGGAGCGAAAGCGUGGGGAGCGAACAGGCUUAGAUACCCUGGUAGUCCACGCUGUAAACGGUGGGUACUAGGUGUGGGGUCCAUUCCACGGGUUCCGUGCCGUAGCUAACGCUUUAAGUACCCCGCCUGGGGAGUACGGCCGCAAGGCUAAAACUCAAAGGAAUUGACGGGGCCCCGCACAAGCGGCGGAGCAUGCGGAUUAAUUCGAUGCAACGCGUAGAACCUUACCUGGGUUUGACAUGGAUCGGGAGCGCUCAGAGAUGGGUGUGCCUCUUUUGGGGUCGGUUCACAGGUGGUGCAUGGCUGUCGUCAGCUCGUGUCGUGAGAUGUUGGGUUAAGUCCCGCAACGAGCGCAACCCUUGUUCACUGUUGCCAGCACGUUAUGGUGGGGACUCAGUGGAGACCGCCGGGGUCAACUCGGAGGAAGGUGGGGAUGACGUCAAGUCAUCAUGCCCCUUAUGUCCAGGGCUUCACGCAUGCUACAAUGGCUGGUACAGAGAGUGGCGAGCCUGUGAGGGUGAGCGAAUCUCGGAAAGCCGGUCUCAGUUCGGAUUGGGGUCUGCAACUCGACCUCAUGAAGUCGGAGUCGCUAGUAAUCGCAGAUCAGCAACGCUGCGGUGAAUACGUUCCCGGG